GAGAGGCACACUUUAGAAGUCUGAUGAAGUCCAUCGCUGGCAGGUGGAUGCCCUAGAAUGAGGUAAUGGCUGGGAUGACCCAGAUUUUGAUCAGCAAGGUGGUAGGGAAGGCUGUGGACAUAUGUGCGAUGUGGGGAGACAUACCGCCACUGCAAUCCAAGCAUUGGAGGGAGGCCUUUAGCAGGCAACAGCCCAGGGGCCACUUCCCAAACACUGAGUACAAAAAAAAUUCA
RNAcentral lists this long non-coding RNA (233 nucleotides) under Homo sapiens (human). Its description in RNAcentral is "non-protein coding lnc-MYO10-18:1". Lineage: Eukaryota; Metazoa; Chordata; Mammalia; Primates; Hominidae. The record is from RNAcentral.